CUAUUUAUGCAACAAAUUGAAAGAGAAAACUUCGAUACACUGUUCAAAUGUUCACAGUUGUCCUGAAGCGCUUCAUUAUUCUUUUGUACAUAAGUAAAACAGCGUAAUGUGCGCUACUAAUUUAUUUUUCAGGAGACAUCACAUGUCUAAAGCAACUGGUAUCGUUAAGUGGUUCAACGAUGAGAAAGGUUUCGGUUUUAUCACUCAAGACAAUGGCGGCGCUGACGUAUUCGUUCACUUCCGUGCUAUCACAGGUGAAGGCUUCAAAUCUCUAGCUGAAGGUCAAAAAGUUUCUUUUGACGUUGAGCAAGGCCAAAAAGGUCCUCAAGCGGCUAACGUUGAGCUUGC
This 348-nucleotide small RNA is filed under the name Photobacterium carnosum. RNAcentral's name for it is "cspA thermoregulator". It matches the Rfam family "cspA thermoregulator", at positions 1 to 372 of the family's 428-position model. Lineage: Bacteria; Pseudomonadati; Pseudomonadota; Gammaproteobacteria; Vibrionales; Vibrionaceae. The record is from RNAcentral.